GUCCACGCCGUAAACGAUGGAUACUAGCUGUUGGGGCAACUUCAGUGGCUAAGCGAAAGUGAUAAGUAUCCCACCUGGGGAGUACGUUCGCAAGAAUGAAACUCAAAGGAAUUGACGGGGGCCCGCACAAGCGGUGGAGCAUGUGGUUUAAUUCGAUGAUACGCGAGGAACCUUACCAAGGCUUAAAUGUAGAUUGACGUAUUUGGAAACAGAUAUUUCUUCGGACAAUUUACAAGGUGCUGCAUGGUUGUCGU
Molecule: ribosomal RNA, 254 nt
Filed under: uncultured bacterium
Lineage: Bacteria
Description: partial 16S ribosomal RNA
Rfam family: Bacterial small subunit ribosomal RNA
Source: RNAcentral